GGUGUGGGAGUCUAAACCUGCCGCUAAAAUUGGAACGAUACAGAGAAGAUUAGCACGGCCCCUGCGCCAGGAUGACACGGUCAAAUCGAGAAGUGUAUCAAAACAUA
Molecule: small nuclear RNA, 107 nt
Filed under: Symbiodinium microadriaticum
Lineage: Eukaryota; Dinophyceae; Suessiales; Symbiodiniaceae
Source: RNAcentral